This 301-nucleotide ribosomal RNA is filed under the name uncultured bacterium. RNAcentral describes it as "partial 16S ribosomal RNA". It matches the Rfam family "Bacterial small subunit ribosomal RNA", at positions 509 to 807 of the family's 1533-position model. The record is from RNAcentral.
CAGCAGCCACGGUAACACGUAGGGUGCAAGCGUUAAUCGGAAUUACUGGGCGUAAAGCGUGCGCAGGCGGUUCUAUAAGACAGAUGUGAAAUCCCCGGGCUCAACCUGGGAACUGCAUUUGUGACUGUGGAGCUGGAGUGCGGCAGAGGGGGAUGGAAUUCCGCGUGUAGCAGUGAAAUGCGUAGAUACGCGGAGGAACACCGAUGGCGAAGGCAAUCCCCUGGGCCUGCACUGACGCUCAUGCACGAAAGCGUGGGGAGCAAACAGGAUUAGAUACCCCUGUAGUCCCUGUCUCUUAUAC